CAGCCGCCGCGGGAAUACGGAGGGCGCGAGCGUUACCCGGAUUUACUGGGCGUAAAGGGCGUGUAGGCGGCCUGGGGCGUCCCAUGUGAAAGGCCACGGCUCAACCGUGGAGGAGCGUGGGAUACGCUCAGGCUAGAGGGUGGGAGAGGGUGGUGGAAUUCCAGGAGUAGCGGUGAAAUGCGCAGAUACCGGGAGGAACGCCGAUGGCGAAGGCAGCCACCUGGUCCACUUCUGACGCUGAGGCGCGGAAGCGUGGGGAGCAAACCGGAUUAGAUACCCCCGUAGUCCCUGUCUCUUAUAC
RNAcentral lists this ribosomal RNA (301 nucleotides) under uncultured bacterium. RNAcentral describes it as "partial 16S ribosomal RNA". It matches the Rfam family "Bacterial small subunit ribosomal RNA", at positions 509 to 807 of the family's 1533-position model. The record is from RNAcentral.